Long non-coding RNA from Acanthaster planci (crown-of-thorns starfish), 6955 nucleotides. RefSeq lists it as uncharacterized. The record is from RefSeq and is a predicted model, not a curated record. NCBI's taxonomy places the organism in Eukaryota, Metazoa, Echinodermata, Asteroidea, Valvatida, Acanthasteridae.
CCCGAAGAGUAGCCACGCAAGGCUGCGCUUCGUUAACCUCGGGCGUGGGACGGCAUAUUUUCGUGCAAUUCGUGAAAAGGCAUUCAAUUAAAGUGGAUCUCGAUUAAUACGAACCCCCUUAUUAUAUUACCAACAUUUUAUUUAUUGUUUUCACAUUUGGACAUGGCCGAAGGAGUUCAAUCCCGCAUUGAUUACGAACGCGUAAUAAUGAGUAACGACGUUUCGUCCGUAUAAAAUACAGGCCGUCUUUACUAGCCUGCCAUCAUUUGUGAUUUCUUGCCGGCAGUGGUAUUUGGUAGACCGAUCUGACACAGAGAGCAGCUCCGGAAAUGGAUUUCAAGGCUAUUUUGGGGGUUUGUUUGGCCGUCCUGGCAAUUCUCGUUGCAUCGUCUUCAGCCGAAGAGAAUUCACAAGACGAGAUUGAAGAAUACCUGAACACAUCAAUGAGCACUGCCGACAAGAGAGGAACUGGAAACCAGAGAUUUAAACCCUGCAGGCAUCCACUAUACAAGAGUAGGGUACGCUGUCGGUGUGACGUCACAAAAAGUGUUCGAGACAGAAGAUACAUGCGGUGUGUCAAAGUGAAACGCUUUUCUGAGGAAUAAGAGCCUUUGAGCAGGGAACAACUUGGAUGUUUUUGUCAGUGAAAUGAGCGGGAACUGUCUCGACUGGGGAUAGUUUCAGCUACCAAAAGAUUCUGCUUACCAAACUGCGCUCAAUGCAGUUCAAUGAAAAGAAAGCCUGAUGAAAAACUUGAAAAGGGACGUGUACGUUAAUAUACCGUUGCCGUCCAUGAAGCUUAGUUGCCUGUAGUUCUUUAAGUUUUGGUAUUUUCCAGUAAGUGGACUUUAAAAAUAGUAGACGUCUUCAUGCACAGCACUCGAAAGUGUGAUACUUUUUAGGUUUAUUUGACAAGUCGUUAAGGUGUGUCGAGAUUUUAAAUUGAGGUGAGGAAGUUGAGAUUCUUUGGUCUCUAAAAAACAUUUCUUAUUAUGUGCGUGCCUUGACAGCUUGGGAGCUGAAAGCAUUUUUACGUAGCUCUUAAAAUGCCUUAUAAAUCUUUGAAUUUUUGUCCUGUUUUGCUAGUAUCAAACAGAUAAACAGAAUGCAAGGAGUAUCGUGAGUAUAUGAGGAACAGCAUUUGGUGUGUAGAAGUGACCAAGCAAGGUCCUAAUUUUUUUUAAAAGUGUUGCGUUUUUAAAUUCAUUUCAGAAAAAUACACGAACUCUUAUGUAGACUUCAAACCUCAAACAGGUUUUUAAAAUGUCUCUUUUUUGAAAUUCACAUAGGCACGAUCCCUUCGCCAAAUUUGAAUUGAAGGUGCGCAGUCUAAGUAUUCGUACGGACUAUGCUAUGACUAAAAAACUCAGCGGGUACGUCCUACCUGUAGUUCUGGUGAAGUUUAGGAACUUUUUUCUCUUUCUUUUUAAACCACGUCAGUUACAAUCUCUAACUCCUGUGAAAAGAAACUACAUCAAGGGAUUUGAAAGCGUUGAAAGCAAAAUAAUGUUCCUGCAGGAGUUUGUCAGCUCCACCAAUCAAGAUCCAAACAAAGAUCUGCGAUAACAUACUCCAACAUUAACGAAGAAAAUGUACUUUGUGCUAUUCGUCGGAUUCUCUGUUAAAUUCAUUAAGAGUAGACUGAGACACCAUGUAGUCUCGGUAGAAAAUGAAAGGAUAAAAAAAUCAGUAUUAACUUUCUGGUAUGUUUACCCGAGGUAAAAAAAAAGUCUAAAAUGUCAAUCAAUGGUUCAAAGUUUAUUCAAGUCUGACUGUCUGCAGUAAAAUCCACCGUUAAUAGGAGUGUAUCGAAGAAAGAAGAGUGAGUCCGCUGUAUUACACAAGUAUGUCCCACAGUUUCAGCUAAUCAACCGGUUCAUCAAAUGAAAUCAGCUCGGCCCACUCACCCACAGCCCCGCCAAUAGGACGGGGGGGGGUAAUUCAUUUUCCAGACAACGGUGCAAGCACAACCAAGAGGCUGCCGAAGGAACGCAAUUACGACGAUCAUGCUGCGAAACUGAGACCAAUAAAAUAUAUUGCAACUGACAGUCAAAAAAGACGUAUACCAGUGGGGGAUAUUUUCAUGCUGAGGGGAAAGCAGAAGUUCUGAUAAAAGACCGGAAUGUGGAGGAAAACUCAUUCUCAACAUAUCGGCAACAUUGGCUGCGAAAUUCGACGCAAUCAAAUAUUAAACAUUGGAGCCAAUAGAGACUUGUUAUCCUUUGAAAAGUGAUUUCCCUCAAGCGCUCGCUCCUGGUAAGAAAAAAUGCUGAAAGACGGCACUGUUAAGAAUGCUUAAGGUAAAUUUGAAAAGCAAUCGGUGCUAAUUCAUUAAUGAAAGUGAGAUAAUGUGCACUGCGUUGAUUUGCUGGUUUACAAACAAAAUCCAUGAACUGUGCGUGGCCCCUUAGCUUUAUACUACAGUAGGAACUGACUCCGAUAUCAAAAUCUCAAAAGCUGAUAAACACUGCCAAAUGGGUUUAUGGAGUGAAUUCAAUGCGUUUCUCCCGUUUUCAAAACACUGCAAACAUCUAUAAAAUUCUGAAAAUCUGGUACUAAUCAGUUUUUAAAUCCCAAACGAUGCUUGGAAGCCGAACGUAUUCUUGUUGCUAACUCCUUCUGCCAAACGUUUGCUCUUAGAAAGGUGCCAUAAUUGUUUGACUUUUUUGCCCGAAACAUUUCUUGUUACUGUUUUGUUUUAUUUGGUAUCUUUUCAACGACAUUCGCUUACAUUCUUUUAUAAUUCUUCCCACAUUUGUUAUAGUGCAUUAUUAUGGCCAGAUGUUUUUAAUGUCAUUACGGACAAGAAUGCUUUUGGGCUGUUGAAAAAUUGAGCCGCUUAUUGAAACGUGGGUGGGUAAAACGUAGUGCUCUACCACGUUUUUGAUUAGAGUUGGUAAUGAAAGGUCACUGACCUUGAUAUUCGGAUGCAACCGCAUCAUCUUCAAAUUUGUAACGUUACGGUACAGAAGCAUGCCAACAUUUGGCGGCAGAAUUUCCCGUUUGGAUCUGGGCUGCUAUGUUUCCAGAUUGGGGCAUAUUGUUUAUGUUUUCUUAAUCUCAAAAAAUCCUGUUUUAUGAGAGAUGACGAAAAACUUUGUAACAAACUUGGAGACCGCAUGAUUAAACACCCGAGUCCCUCGAUGCUCCAAUUUAGAAACUAAAGUGAUCGGUAUGCAUGUAUUAUAUACAGUCGAUAUUCUUCAACAUGCAAGGUGGACACUUUUUAGCAAGAGGGAAGACGAAACAACCAAAGCCAAUGGGAAAACACACGUAGUUUUAUUUAUAUCACCAAUUGCAUGUUGUGACUGUUAUAUCGGUUUCGCUGUUCGUAGCAACAAAACAAUCAUUUUCAGAUUUUUGUUUUCAAUUAAGGGAUGGAGAUAAUCGUCUCCAACAGCAUGCUACCCAGAGGGCUGCAUAUGUUCAUUUUUGCUGAUUAAUUUCCCACGCUUCUUUAGGCACCACCGAUCAUGCAUACCUUCCAGCGUUAGCUAUAAACAUCUUAAUUUCCGCGAGGAGGUUCAGACACUUCCAAAACAUUUUCAGAAAACGUCUAAAUUCCUCAACGAUUUACAACAUCGGAAUUAAGUGGCAGCAUGAAUUUUGGAGCUCUAGGAGCCUUGGUCCUGGUUGUCACCUUUUUGAUUGCUGCAAAUGGCGAGCCGCUGGCUGACUCUGGGUACGAGCCCGUCCUCUACGAUGACCCCGUGAAGAAAAGGGCUGCAUUUUUCGAGGAUGGCUAUUUCAGCAAGAGGGGAACUGGCAUGAGAUUUCGAAGAUGUAUAAAUCCCGUGACCAGGGAGAAAUGCAGGUGCGACCGCUAUAGAAAGGGGCCCCAGUACAUUCACUGCCGUAAAUAGUAUACGCUGCCUUGCGAUUGCGUCUAAACAAUUCUUGAACAAUUUGAAGGUUCCACAUGCAGCCACUAGUUACGCUUCUUUAAUAGUGUUCUCCAUGUCUGUCAACACCUUAUAUGAAUGCCAUUCAUCAGACUUUAAUGAGAGAAGCCAUUAUGCACGCAACACACAGCUAGCUCCGCGCUAAUUUAGCAUAGAGGAAUAAAUAGUGUCCUUUACAAAGGCAAAGCAUUCGAGUUUCUCCCAAAAUGGUAUCAAAAUCGGAAAUCGCUUUUACAAUAUCUCCUUGGUGCCAAUUUUGAUGGCUAUUAAAAUAGUCAAAAGAUGAGAAAUAAUGGAUUUUGUCUGCUAGACAGUAUUUGUAGGUUUAUUAUAAGGGGUGCGAUAUUUAAGAUUGUGAUAUGGGUUUAUGGAGUGAAUUGAGUGCGUUUCUCCCGUUUUCAAAAAUCACGAAAAUCUAUAAAAUUCUGAAAAUUUGGCACUAAUCAGUUUUUAAAUCCCAAACGAUGCUUCAAGCGAAUUCUUUCCGCUCAGUGUUGUAGUCAAGACAUCGUAAGACCUUCCCAGACCCAACAAGACCGUCGCAAGACCAACACAAGACCCUAGUCUGAAUUCAAGUCGCAUAUUAAUGUGAACUGCAAAAAAAAACAAACACUCCUUUGUCAUUGUUUGCACAAAAACUUGUGACUGUCUUGUGAAUGGUCUUCUAAAAGGUCUUGCCAACCGUUCUUUGUAAAUACUCCGAUUAGAAGGAGGUUGCGCCUAAAACAAUCCAAUGAGACUUUGCCCUUGCAUUCAAGGCGUCAAUGAACUCAAUUAAGUCCUGGAGCAUGAUUGAAAAAUAAAAAAAGAACAUUUCUCUUCUCCUUGACGGGAAGGAAUCACAGGAAUUCAAUUGUGUAACCUCAUAUUAAGUAUUAAUUUGAAAGAAGACUUCAUAAGACAAGGAUACUGAAUAUUUUUUUCGCAGUCGGAAGGUGAUCCAAUUAUAAGUCAAGCUUUUGAUUGAUUACUUCCUUAAUGGUCUAAGAUCUUAGGAAACAUUCGUUUUCUUGUAAAUGUAUCGUCAUGAUGUAGUGCUUGAACUGAUGGCAUUUGGGGGAAAAUAAAGAAAAGAUACAUUUUUUUCUGAAAAUGAUUUUUAGGCAUGCGUUUGUUUUGGUUCUGAUAGCCCAAGACAGUGGACAUCUUCACCCGUAGCGCUAAUGAACUCAUCACUAAUAAAAUAUUGAUCUGCAACACUCUGUUGCCUAGCGUGAAGAGCAUGUCAGGGGAGACAGACUCGCAGCCCCCAUUUCCUGCCCCCUUGUUCUUAUCAACUGCCCGUUCCAAGCUUGUAAACUUUCUACAGAGCGCUUGGAGCGUAGGCGAAGAAGAUUACGCUUCGCACGAACUUUCCGUGGAUUCAAUAACCACCAGCCGGCAUUUGACACAGUGAAUUGAGGUCUGUGAAAAGGAUCUGAUGUACCUUACACUUACCAGUACAACACAAUAUCACUGCCAUAAUUCGAACUUACUACGGCAACUCAGCGGGUGGGGACGUCGGGAACUUUUGGGACGGGGGUUGUGUGAGAAAUCAACGACCAGCAGAGCUGUUACGCCAGGCCGCGUGCUCACGUCAAAUUAAUAUUUUCACCGCGGGCCUUAUUGUGAGGUUUGCGAUCGUCGCGGUACAGCGACGUUCGUUACUCAAGCGUGCACGUUACGAAAUGCAUAAAAAUCAUUGCGUUUUGAUACUGGAUAUUCACAACGCCUAGGAGAUCUUACAUAGCACACAUCUCUGUCUCUUGGAAAGCUGAAGGCAAGUUCGAGGUGUCUAGCAUGAGUCCCAAGUGUCUUCUAGCUCUGGCCCUUGUGGCGGCUCUGGUCGCUUUCGUCAGCCCGUUCUACAUCAACGAGGACUUGGACGACGACGACGACGAAGGAGGUGCCGUGGAGGAGCUGGAGGCGCAGGCCUUGCCGCUGUUGCUGCAGAAGAGGGGCAGGGGAUUUCGCUACCACCGCUGUGUUGACCCAGAGACCGGGAAACGCUGUAUUUGUGACAGGACCAAGACCAAAUAUCACAAUAUUCGUGGUGGUUGCAAGAACUAGACAGGAAUUUCCUUCUCGUGAACUCCUUCCUUCUUCAACGGCAGUGAAUACCAUUUUUUCUUCGCGGGUUCUUUGCCGCCUGUCGAGUGAUGCUUCAACUUGAGCAACUUUUACAGCCAAAGAUGAGAUAUCCAGGGGAAUGGGACCAGCGGAGGCCAAGUCCCCUCCAAGAGUGGCAAUCUGUACUGCAAUGAAUACGAGAGGGUUUUUUCAGUUGUUUUGUUUCCCUUCUUCCCCACAGUAUGCAAAAUACCAAAAGUUAAGCCUCACUUCUUACAAAGGCUAUAAAAUGCUUUCAUAAAGCAAUUCUUGAUCUCCGAACACCCUGCCCUUUCCUAAAAAAAAAUAAAUAAAUAAGUAAAAAAAAAACCACUAAAAAUUUGUUUGGAGAUGCCGCUCUUACCCAAAGUGCCCCGAUUAUGUACUAAUGUCGUACAACGAAAACAUAUAUAACGAGAUCCUGACUUUUCUUGAAUUCCGAAAGACCCUGAGUAUUAGUGGACAUUUUAGUUACAACCAAGGCACAUUGACAACCGUUUCUAGGACAGACAACCUUCUUGGUGUCUCCGACUGUACUGCGUCACUCGAAGACUUGUUCGUACAUUCCAAAAUAUCAGGCUGCAUGAAUAUUAAUGGCCAAAUUGUUUUGAAUGAAGAUAAAACAACCCUCGACUGAAAGCAAUCGAUAUUGACAUGACUUAAAUUCUUGAUUUUUUUGUCUCCUUUGUCAUGUUAAACAUUUGUUUUUGAGUGCAGUUCCUUAGUAAUAUUGGCAAAUGUUUAUGACUUAUUGAUUCUCUGGUAUAUUUUUGAAAUUUUGUAUAACUAGGAAUAUAGGGGAGAUUUUUGAAUAGCUCUCAGAAAUUUAGAAGAUUGCCAAGAAAACAGUCCAUCGCCGAAACACUUCUGUCAAACUUUAGAAUGUAUUCCUGUGAAAUGUGAUUUUUGAAGAUGGAAUGAUAACUGUUAACAUUAAAGCAUCGUAAUUCUCGAUUUAAAUUAAA